GGGAGCGUGGUGUAAUUGGCUAACAUCUUGGUCUCCAAAACCAAAGAUUGAAGGUUCGAGUCCUUCCGCUCUCG
This 74-nucleotide transfer RNA is filed under the name Trichocoleus sp. FACHB-69. Its description in RNAcentral is "tRNA-Trp". It matches the Rfam family "tRNA". From Rfam's summary of the family: Transfer RNA (tRNA) molecules are approximately 80 nucleotides in length. Their secondary structure includes four short double-helical elements and three loops (D, anti-codon, and T loops). Further hydrogen bonds mediate the characteristic L-shaped molecular structure. tRNAs have two regions of fundamental functional importance: the anti-codon, which is responsible for specific mRNA codon recognition, and the 3' end, to which the tRNAs corresponding amino acid is attached (by aminoacyl-tRNA synthetases). tRNAs cope with the degeneracy of the genetic code in two manners: having more than one tRNA (with a specific anti-codon) for a particular amino acid; and 'wobble' base-pairing, i.e. permitting non-standard base-pairing at the 3rd anti-codon position. The record is from RNAcentral. RNAcentral also lists the same sequence under 1 other name. Lineage: Bacteria; Bacillati; Cyanobacteriota; Cyanophyceae; Leptolyngbyales; Trichocoleusaceae.